RNAcentral lists this ribosomal RNA (438 nucleotides) under uncultured bacterium. RNAcentral describes it as "bacterial SSU rRNA". It matches the Rfam family "Bacterial small subunit ribosomal RNA", at positions 355 to 796 of the family's 1533-position model. The record is from RNAcentral.
UGGGGAAUCUUGCACAAUGGGCGAAAGCCUGAUGCAGCGACGCCGCGUGGGGGAUGAAGCAUUUCGGUGUGUAAACCCCUUUCGAUCCGGACGAAUACCUCGCAAGAGGGGUGACGGUACGGAUAUAAGAAGCCCCGGCUAACUACGUGCCAGCAGCCGCGGUAAGACGUAGGGGGCCAGCGUUGUUCGGAAUUACUGGGUGUAAAGGGUUCGUAGGCGGUGUGGCAAGUUGGGAGUGAAAUCUCUGGGCUCAACCCAGAGGCUGCUUCCAAAACUGCUGUGCUUGAGUGUGAGAGAGGCUCGUGGAAUUGCAGGUGUAGCGGUGAAAUGCGUAGAUAUCUGCAGGAACACCCGUGGCGAAAGCGGCGAGCUGGAUCACUACUGACGCUGAGGAACGAAAGCUAGGGGAGCAAACAGGAUUAGAUACCCCCGUAGUCC